Molecule: long non-coding RNA, 572 nt
Filed under: Pogona vitticeps (central bearded dragon)
Lineage: Eukaryota; Metazoa; Chordata; Lepidosauria; Squamata; Agamidae
Description: lncRNA (ENSPVIG00000004389.1)
Source: RNAcentral
UGCUUUUCAACUAUUUUGGGUGGAAGAGAGGCCAGAAAGAGUAUCCACAUACCCACUUAGUAGAUAACCCUUCAAAGGAGAUGCUGCCUACCUAAUCAGCUGUUCUGUAUGUUUUUUAACUUUUAUGUCAACAGGCUGUAUGUGCACUGCUGGUUUUGAAACUGAGAAAGAGAGCUAAAUGUACAGAAUCCACAUGAUCGCAUGGACUUUUCCUGCCACAGGCUCUGAAACCAAACUAGAAAUGCUCAAGAGGAGGCACUUCCUGGAAGCAAAAACAUAUGCCCUUUAGACUUGCAGGUGAUUAUGAGAAGAAAGCAAUGGCAGACUUGACAGAGUCUGCCAUUGAAGAGUCAUGUGAAGAGUCUCCAUACUAGCAGCAAUCUGUCAUCUUCAGACCCUUUGGUUAUUGGAUGAAGAAAGUACAACAGGGGGUGAGAACUCGGGAGUUCUUUCUAAGUGGAGAAAAACCAGAUUCUGUAACACCUGUGUGCGACUCUACAGAGUAGAUAAUGUGUGGGCUCCUACCAAAUAAGAUGAAUAAUAAUAAUAAUAAAAAUAUUUAAACCAGGACA